GAUGUGUUUCAAUGGUAGAACACUCGCCUGGCAUGUGUGAGGCCCUGGAUUCAAACCCCAGCAUC
This 65-nucleotide transfer RNA is filed under the name Heterocephalus glaber (naked mole-rat). It matches the Rfam family "tRNA". Rfam says of the family: Transfer RNA (tRNA) molecules are approximately 80 nucleotides in length. Their secondary structure includes four short double-helical elements and three loops (D, anti-codon, and T loops). Lineage: Eukaryota; Metazoa; Chordata; Mammalia; Rodentia; Bathyergidae. The record is from Rfam by way of RNAcentral.